Molecule: ribosomal RNA, 406 nt
Filed under: uncultured bacterium
Lineage: Bacteria
Description: partial 16S ribosomal RNA
Rfam family: Bacterial small subunit ribosomal RNA
Source: RNAcentral
AUUGAACGCUGGCGGCAGGCCUAACACAUGCAAGUCGAACGAGUGGCGGACGGGUGUGUAUUGUUUUGGAAACUGCCCGAUGGGGGGGGAUAUCUCCUGGAAACGGUAGCUAAUACCCCACAUCAUCGGAUGUGUCCAGAUGGGAUUAGCUAGUAGGGGGGGUAACGGCUCACCUAGGCGACGCUCCCUAGCUGGUCUGAGAGGAUGACCCGCCACACUGGAACUGAGACACGGUCCAGACUCCUACGGGAGGAAGAAGGGGGGAAUAUUGCACAAUGGGCGCAAGCCUGAUGCAGCCAUGCCGCGUGUAUGAAGAAGGCCUUCGGGUUGUAAAGUACUUUCAGCGAGGAGGCGUUACGCGCAGAAGAAGCACCGGCUAACUCCGUGCCAGCAGCCGCGGUAAUUC